UGAGGAGGACUGGUCAGCAUCAACAGCAUUUCUGAUCCCGUUAGCUGAAAUUUACCAGAAAUUACCAGAAAUUAGAGUGUGCCCGCCCGAGCGAGUGAUGGCUAAAACAUGCAAACAAAACUGAAGACCAGGAACUGGAACCUGGGAACCUGGAAGAGGAUGUUGUCCUGAAGGACACAAUUCAGGCAGCAGCAUGGUGCCAGGUACAGUCCUUCAAGGACAGCGUCUCUCUCCCAGAGGUCAUUGGGAUGGAAGGUUGGGAGCAGAGGGCAGCAUCAGUACAGCGCAAA
Molecule: long non-coding RNA, 290 nt
Organism: Gadus chalcogrammus (walleye pollock)
Lineage: Eukaryota; Metazoa; Chordata; Actinopteri; Gadiformes; Gadidae
Exons: 3
Source: RefSeq, a predicted model, not a curated record